AAUAAAAUAAUUAUGUUUUUGGUAGUUUAUUAUAAAUUUGUUUUACAUAUAAAUUUUAGUAUAUAAUUUUAAUUAUUUUAAUAAUAAUUAAUUAAAUUUGGUAGUAAUUAAUAUUAAAAAUUUAAGAAAUUAAGAUUUAGUAAUAUUAAAAUUAAUAACUAAUUUUGUGCCAGCAGUUGCGGUUAAACAAAAAUUAAAUUAAAUUAUUUCAGUUUAUAAUAAAUAAUUAAUUAUUAAAAUAAAUAUUAAAUUAUUAAGUGAAAUUUUAAUUUAAUUUAAUUUUAUUAUUAAAUUAUGAUUUAAUAAAUUUUAAUAUAAACUAGGAUUAGAUACCCUAUUAUUAAAAAUUUAAUUUAUAAUACUAAAAUAGUAAAUAAUAAUUUAUUGAAACUUAAAUAAUAUGGCGGUAUUUUAGUUCAUUUAGAGGAAUCUGUCUAAUAAUUGAUAAUCCACGAAUAAAUUUACUUAAUUUAUAAUUUUGUAUAUCGUUGUUAAAAAAAUAUUUUUUAGUAAUAAUAAUAUUUUAAAUUUAAAAAUAAAAAUUAAUUCAGAUCAAGAUGCAGAAUAUAAUUAAGAAUAUGAUGGAUUACAUUAAAUAUAUUUAAAUGAAUAAUUUAUUGUAAUAUAAAUUUGAAGGUGGAUUUAAAUGUAAUUUUAAUUAAUUUAUUAAAAUGAUUAUAAAUUAAAAUAUGUACCUAUUGCCCGUCGCUUUCAUAUAUAAAUUGAAAUAAGUCGUAACAAAGUAGAAGUACUGGAAAGUGUUUCUAGAAAGAA
RNAcentral lists this non-coding RNA (774 nucleotides) under Kallima inachus (orange oakleaf). The record is from RNAcentral. Lineage: Eukaryota; Metazoa; Arthropoda; Insecta; Lepidoptera; Nymphalidae.